Epinephelus lanceolatus (giant grouper) is the source of this 1690-nucleotide non-coding RNA. NCBI's taxonomy places the organism in Eukaryota, Metazoa, Chordata, Actinopteri, Perciformes, Serranidae. The record is from RefSeq and is a predicted model, not a curated record.
CCUGAGACAACUUACAGGCUUUCUCAGAUUCCCACUGGAGAAAUGCAAAUACAGUGACCCUCUCCUAGGAGUUGAAUGUGAUGCUGUACAACCCUUUGAGGUGAUCAUCAAGUCAUGGGGAACAGCAACAACUAUUGAAUGGGUGUGUUCGUGAGGUCACAGCCUUUGGAGGUGGAACUCUCAGCCCAUUUUCAAGUUUGGCCUUCAGGCAGGGGACUUCAUGCUGGCCACCAACAUCCUGCUGUCUGGAAACAACUACCACAAAAUUGCACUUCUGUUCAGGUUCAUGAACAUGGGCAUUGUUACCAAGUCCACUUUCUUUGCGGUGCAAGACUCCUAUUGUGUUGACCCCAUCGAGGAGUUUUGGCAGGAGAACAGAUCAGCAAUCAUCAACCGCCUGCGUGCCAAGGAUCACGCUGUAGCUAUUGCAGAUGGAAGGAUGGACUCUCCAGGGCACUGUGCACAGUAUUGCUCGUACACCACUAUGGACUGUGAGUCCCGGGACAUCAUCAACAUCACGACAGUCGACAAGAGAGAGACAAACAGGAACUCUGUUGCAAUGGAGAAAGAAGGAUUCAUAAGAGCAAUGGACCAACUUCUUUCUGAAAUACCACUGAAAGAGAUGUGCACUGAUGCACAUGUUCAAAUCAAGGCCCUAGUUGAUCCCAAGCGUGGGAGGUAUGGUGACCGGGGAGUAAUCCACACCUUGGACAUGUGGCAUGGAGUAAAAAGCUUGGCCAAGAAACUACAUGCAGCAGGACAGGUGAAAGGCCAAACAGAAAUCCUACAGUGGUUGAAAGACAUAGUCAAUCACUUCUGGGGCCUAUGGCGAGGUGUUCUUUACCAUGUGACCGGCCGUCAUGAGUGGGCUUUUGGGAGGUGCCUUCAUGAGCAACUGAAUGAUGAAGACCGUGAAAAGGAGUGGAUCCAAAAAGAUUCACCUGCCUACUUGGCACUCAUUGGAGUUGUCCUGAACAAAAAGUGGCUAAAAGAUGUCCCCAAAUUUUUGAACUUCCGGUAAAGGAGAUGUACUUGUCCAGAAAGCACUGUGUAUGUGGAUACUUGGAACAGGGGAAUUUCAGAAAAGUAAGGCUGCAACAUGUUAUGAUACAAUACCUGUUUUUUUGUUUGUUUUUUGUCUGUGUUUCAUAGGACGAUAUCUGACCUUGAGACCUUCCGCAAUCAUAUUUUAAUGUAUGCAGGCAAACGCUUUGCCUUCUCUCCAGCUGUGUAUGAAGCCAGAACUUUGCUUGCUGCAUUAGACUACAACCACCACAACACCAGACCACCAAUGUUGACCAAAGAAGGCAACAGAGUAUACCAGAAAAUUUACAAUAAAAAGUCGAGGAGAUACAGCCUUUACACCAUCAAGAGCCACAAAUCAUACAGCUACAUCCCUGAUCUACAAAGGGCAAUCACACGCAGACGUUUGAUGUCGGGGAAGGGAGUGCCACGAAAGAGGACCAGCAGGGAGGAAGAUCCUAGAAGAUUUGGCCUCCUCCCACCUGUGGAGCCACCAACAACAGAGGAGUUGCUUCAGAGCCAGGUCUCCAGAGGAGAGAUUCUCCUCUGAAGAAAGGAUUACGGAUUGAUUUCUGCAGACCACUCCAUCACUUAACAUUCAGUAAAAAACAAGCUUCUUGUAAAUAUUUGACAGAUUGUAAUAAAAAGCUAAUAAACACUAGAUGAC